RNAcentral lists this long non-coding RNA (204 nucleotides) under Gossypium barbadense (sea-island cotton). RNAcentral describes it as "long non-coding RNA (GBAR_LNC021069)". The record is from RNAcentral. Lineage: Eukaryota; Viridiplantae; Streptophyta; Magnoliopsida; Malvales; Malvaceae.
UUCUCAGUAAUCGUUCAAUUUCCAAGUAAAACAAAAGGCAUUAGGCAUCUCGUGAAUCUCCCUUCUAACGCAUCGAAACACAACGCACAACAAGUUAUCAAACCUCAAGAUUUUGAAGAACCCCAAAAUAUGCAAUAAUAAACUUUACGAAACAAUCGACUCAGCUUACCUUGAAGCACACCGGAACGAAGCAAUUUACACAGG